This 22-nucleotide microRNA is filed under the name Echinococcus granulosus. RNAcentral's name for it is "egr-miR-4991". The record is from miRBase by way of RNAcentral. Lineage: Eukaryota; Metazoa; Platyhelminthes; Cestoda; Cyclophyllidea; Taeniidae.
GAUCCUGGAAUCCAACCUCAUU